CCUAUACAUGCAGUCGAGCGAAUGGAUUAAGAGCUUGCUCUUAUGAAGUUAGCGGCGGACGGGUGAGUAACACGUGGGUAACCUGCCCAUAAGACUGGGAUAACUCCGGGAAACCGGGGCUAAUACCGGAUAACAUUUUGAACCGCAUGGUUCGAAUUGAAGGGGCUUCGGCUGUCACUUAUGGUGGACCCGCGUCGCAUUAGCUAGUUGGUGAGGUAACGGCUCACCAAGGCAACGAUGCGUAGCCGACCUGAGAGGGUGAUCGGCCACACUGGGACUGAGACACGGCCCAGACUCCUACGGGAGGCAGCAGUAGGGAAUCUUCCGCAAUGGACGAAAGUCUGACGGAGCAACGCCGCGUGAGUGAUGAAGGCUUUCGGGUCGUAAAACUCUGUUGUUAGGGAAGAACAAGUGCUAGUUGAAUAAGCUGGCACCUUGACGGUACCUAACCAGAAAGCCACGGCUAACUACGUGCCAGCAGCCGCGGUAAUACGUAGGUGGCAAGCGUUAUCCGGAAUUAUUGGGCGUAAAGCGCGCGCAGGUGGUUUCUUAAGUCUGAUGUGAAAGCCCACGGCUCAACCGUGGAGGGUCAUUGG
This 596-nucleotide ribosomal RNA is filed under the name Bacillus cereus. RNAcentral's name for it is "bacterial SSU rRNA". It matches the Rfam family "Bacterial small subunit ribosomal RNA", at positions 48 to 629 of the family's 1533-position model. The record is from RNAcentral. Lineage: Bacteria; Bacillati; Bacillota; Bacilli; Caryophanales; Bacillaceae.